This 507-nucleotide long non-coding RNA is filed under the name Androctonus crassicauda. The record is from RNAcentral. Lineage: Eukaryota; Metazoa; Arthropoda; Arachnida; Scorpiones; Buthidae.
GACACUCAUGAAUGAAGCACUGAUACCCUGGCGGCAAAUUCGACAGCUUAGUCCGCAAGAUCUGCACUAAGCAUCUUAAAAUGUGCAACACAUUACAUGCUCCUGUCAACGUCACCACACCCUACCAGGAAGUUUCGAUCAAGCACACCCUAUCCAUCCCACAGCACCCUAAUGUGCCUCGACAUUAUUAGUAUAAUUAAGACAAAACACGAUUAUCACAUAUCUGAAAGAAGAAAUGCUACAGUGUUCCAAAAAUAUGCAAUGACAAAAAAGCUAGGCCUAAUGCCAAGAGGUGCAGGGUAUACAAGAUACCAUUAACCUCUAUUCCAUAAAUGGCACAGUAAGCUACUAAGUAUAUAGGAAUAACUAGAUGACACCUGAAAGAAUGUAUGCAGCAGUAUCGAUACGACAUACGAAAUAACAGGGAAAAUACAGCUCUAGUGCAAGCGGCUUACUCAAAGGACUGGUCUGUUAUAUGGGACAACAUUAAAAUCAUUGAUUCACUAC